RNAcentral lists this long non-coding RNA (1299 nucleotides) under Carassius auratus (goldfish). Its description in RNAcentral is "lncRNA (ENSCARG00000001301.1)". Lineage: Eukaryota; Metazoa; Chordata; Actinopteri; Cypriniformes; Cyprinidae. The record is from RNAcentral.
AUGUGCCUCUCGGCGUCGAAUAUCGAAGCACUACGACCUUCAUUGCUUUCAAUGGGAAACUUUUGGCGUCAGAAUUCGACACGAGGACAUGAGAUGUUUAUCGCUAUGAAAUCACGUUCAAGAAGUCUCAUUCAGCACACAUCGCGAUACUUGCUAUCAGUUUUUAUUUUUAGCUGAAAAGACGUAAAGGCAGUCAGCCCAGUGGUGUUUCUGGAGAGGGAUUCCUUCAGAAAUGGAGAAGACAGAAAGCUGCGGAGGCAGAUAUAUGCAGCAGUAAGUCUGUGAUAGUUUGUCCCUUUUAUCAAACAUUCCUGCUGUUAUAAUUUGUACAGCAUUUGUUGUUUCUUAAACUGUUGCACUGUCCAAAUACCCACACUUGCCAUCUUUUCACUUGACCACUUGAUUACUUAUUUGACGUCUUUCCUGUAUUUUGCCUAGUGUUCAAGUGAGCAUGAUGACCACAAGUGUGUGUCGAACUUUUCAUGACCUGAUGACUGUGUUACCCAAUCCUGAUACAUACUGUACAUUGGACAGCUUCCCAUGACCUUUUGUGAGAUCUCGGCAAAAAGUCUGACGAUUUAUUCCAAAACAUGAUGCAUUAUGGGAUACACUAAGCUUUGUAUAGUGCUCCGGAGCAGUAUUGGAGAGGUUUAGUGUGUGUUAAGGACGCUGUGCUUUGGCAUUAUUAAGACCGGGGACAGUCUCGUUCACACACUGUCACGUACACACACUCUCAAGUGGCCAAGACUGCAAGUGUGGGUAUCUGGACAGGGUCAAAGUCUUAAAAAUGAUCCCUAAACACAUCACAGUCUUAAUAAUCCAGUUUAACACUUGUAUGAUAUUGUACAAGCCCCAGGACGGUCUCAUCUACACUAUCAAAAGAAUUAAUAUGACUAUAGCUUGCUAUUAAUUACUUGCUUUCAAUAAUGGAUGCAUUUAACAUAUAAUUAUACAGCAUCUUUACAGAGGCUGCUUUUAUGGUCUAAACAAAACACAGUGUAAUGUAUAAGUUGAAUGUAAUUUAAUAUUUCCUUCCUUUCUGUCUUACAGGAUUGUUUGAGGAUAAGGCUGUAGCUCCAUCAUGCACAAGGACUCACCUCGUUAACUCUUUAUCCCCCGCACACACAGAAAUGGUCCCUGGAUCAGUGAUUAGACUUUGCAGUGGUUUGAUUUUUGCAGAAGAUGUAACUUUGUUUUAAUUAUAAGCUCAUAAUGAAUACAUUACAGAACCAGUGAUGAAAACAAUAGUUAAAAAUAGCGCUCCAUAUUAAAAAUAUAUUGAACACUUGACAUGCAUGU